GAUGAACGCUGGCGGCGUGCCUAAUACAUGCAAGUCGAGCGAGAAGCUUGGAAAUGACGCUUCGGUUGAUUUUCCAAGCGGACAGCGGCGGACGGGUGAGUAACGCGUAGGCAACCUGCCCCUGACAGAGGGAUAGCCAUUGGAAACGAUGAUUAAAACCUCAUGACACCGUAGUAGCACAUGCUACAUCGGUCAAAGAUUUAUCGGUCAGGGAUGGGCCUGCGUCUGAUUAACUGGUUGGUGAGGUAACGGCUCACCAAGGUGACGAUCAGUAGCCGACCUGAGAGGGUGAUCGGCCACAUUGGAACUGAGACACGGUCCAAACUUCUACGGAAGGCAGCAGUAGGGAAUCUUGCACAAUGGGCGAAAGCCUGAUGCAGCAACGCCGCGUGAAGGAUGAAGGCCUUCGGGUUGUAAACUUCUGUUCUAAGGGAAGAAAGAAAUGACGG
RNAcentral lists this ribosomal RNA (449 nucleotides) under Mogibacterium timidum. RNAcentral's name for it is "bacterial SSU rRNA". It matches the Rfam family "Bacterial small subunit ribosomal RNA", at positions 28 to 475 of the family's 1533-position model. The record is from RNAcentral. Lineage: Bacteria; Bacillati; Bacillota; Clostridia; Peptostreptococcales; Anaerovoracaceae.